RNAcentral lists this transfer RNA (82 nucleotides) under Enterocloster bolteae. RNAcentral describes it as "tRNA-Tyr". It matches the Rfam family "tRNA". From Rfam's summary of the family: Transfer RNA (tRNA) molecules are approximately 80 nucleotides in length. The record is from RNAcentral. RNAcentral also lists the same sequence under 1 other name. Lineage: Bacteria; Bacillati; Bacillota; Clostridia; Lachnospirales; Lachnospiraceae.
CGGUGAGUGGCCCAGUAGCGACGGCACCUGACUGUAAAUCAGGCACAUGAGAAACACGGAGGCGCACAUCCUCCCUCACCGA